GGGCCGGUGGAACAGCCUGGAGUGUUCGUCUCCCUGUCACGGAGAAGAUCGCGGGUUCAAAUCCCGUCCGGCCCGCCA
This 78-nucleotide transfer RNA is filed under the name Candidatus Moranbacteria bacterium CG_4_10_14_3_um_filter_44_15. Its description in RNAcentral is "tRNA-Asp". It matches the Rfam family "tRNA". Rfam says of the family: Transfer RNA (tRNA) molecules are approximately 80 nucleotides in length. Their secondary structure includes four short double-helical elements and three loops (D, anti-codon, and T loops). RNAcentral also lists the same sequence under 4 other names. Lineage: Bacteria; Candidatus Moraniibacteriota. The record is from RNAcentral.